Paramuricea clavata is the source of this 971-nucleotide non-coding RNA. Lineage: Eukaryota; Metazoa; Cnidaria; Anthozoa; Malacalcyonacea; Plexauridae. The record is from the annotation of a GenBank genome assembly.
ACAAAUAGGGUUAAAGGUAACCUACAAAACUAUUUCGUUUAAUUAACGCAGUUGCGGUUAGGAUAAAAUAUCUUUACGUGAUGAAAAACAGAUUCUGAACAAUAAAUAUACAUUCUUUUGUAGAUAUCAAUUGUUCGUGAAUGUUUCAGUAAUUAUUGUUUCCAGAAGUGGAUGUGAAAAGUAUAGACCACUACAAAGCGAAGAUGAGAAAAACAACACCAAACGUUUUAAAAAAAAUCACUAAUUUUGUUUAAGAACAACAAUACGCGAUGCUUGACUUCCAAAAAUAACAUAGGCUACACGAUUGCAACUAUACCGCUAACAUUGCAUAACGUUAUUAAUAAUGAUCGAUUAUACAUAAAAAAUGUUGCUGGACUGUGAUCGGAUGAAUUCAGUGUAGUUGAUCGCAAACAGCAGUGCGAAAUUGUCCAACAGUUGCGCAACAAUCCGUAAGAAACGUGCAAAAACCUGUAACAAACUGAUCUGAUUGGUAGUGGGAUGCUAAAUCUGAAAAUUAGCUUAAAGAAGUCGUUAAGUAACGGCCUCGGCCAUUACUUGACCGAGCACUACAUAAAGUUAAAGUUGAAUAUAUGAGUAUACAUUUUUAAAUUGGAAAGAUUUUACCUUAAACAAGGUUGACAAAACGUACAGGGGUUGUGUGACAUUUUCAAACCACUAGGGUCGUGUAAUGUGAUAUAACACAGCAGGAAACUUUGUCAGUUGACGUUUCUCUGUAAACCAAAGUUAAAAAUAAAAUUGUCUCUAACACUUUUAUGCAUAUGGUUGAUCCGUAAUUGGAUGGUUUCUCUUGAAAUUUUGAUAAAAUAAGUAUUCGUGAGUUUUUCAAUGCCCUCAAAUACUCGUGUUAUCUUGAUGCUCCUUGAAAAACUCACUGGUUCAUGUUUUAUCCAAAAUUCACUCGAACCCAUUAUAUUACCUAUACAAAGAAGCCCUCAAGGUACCGUUUUAGG